RNAcentral lists this ribosomal RNA (249 nucleotides) under uncultured prokaryote. RNAcentral describes it as "partial 16S ribosomal RNA". It matches the Rfam family "Bacterial small subunit ribosomal RNA", at positions 524 to 772 of the family's 1533-position model. The record is from RNAcentral.
UACGCAGGAUGCAAGCGUUAUCCGGAUUUAUUGGGUUUAAAGGGUGCGCAGGUUGUUUGAUAAGUCAGUGGUGAAAGUCUGUCGCUUAACGGUAGGAUUGCCAUUGAUACUGUUAGACUUGAAUAUGGAUGAGGUAGGCGGAAUGUGUAGUGUAGCGGUGAAAUGCAUAGAUAUUACACAGAACACCGAUUGCGAAGGCAGCUUACUAAUCCAUCAUUGACGCUGAGGCACGAAAGCGUGGGGAUCAAA